UUGAAAGGGAAACGAUUGAAGUCAGUCGUACCGACGGAGGAUCAACCUUUGAAAGCGGGUCGAGGUAUUCGAGGAGUUUAAAAGCCCUCUUGCGCUCACGUACUUCGUUUUCUUUGGUGCACUUCUUCGUAUGGUAGGUUAACAUCAAUUUUGGACGUUACAAAAUGAUCGGGGGAAUGUAGCUUCGAUUUUUUCGAAGUGUUAUAGACCUUGGUAGAUGUGACGACCGGGAUUGAGGAUUGCAACGAAUGCUUUCGGGCUAUCCGUCUGACCUCUGGUGGUUGCUUUGGGGUCGAAAGCGUGCUUACGGCUUUAAAGUUGGCUAUCAAAAGGCUAGAACGUGAUUAAAUUCGUUAAGGAUGUUGACGUA
This 370-nucleotide ribosomal RNA is filed under the name uncultured Glomeromycotina. RNAcentral describes it as "LSU rRNA". The record is from RNAcentral. Lineage: Eukaryota; Fungi; Glomeromycota.